UACGAAGGGGGCUAGCGUUGCUCGGAAUCACUGGGCGUAAAGGGUGCGUAGGCGGGUCUUUAAGUCAGGGGUGAAAUCCUGGAGCUCAACUCCAGAACUGCCUUUGAUACUGAGGAUCUCGAGUCCGGGAGAGGUGAGUGGAACUCCGAGUGUAGAGGUGAAAUUCGUAGAUAUUCGGAAGAACACCAGUGGCGAAGGCGGCUCACUGGCCCGGUACUGACGCUGAGGUGCGAAAGCGU
RNAcentral lists this ribosomal RNA (239 nucleotides) under uncultured bacterium. RNAcentral's name for it is "partial 16S ribosomal RNA". It matches the Rfam family "Bacterial small subunit ribosomal RNA", at positions 524 to 762 of the family's 1533-position model. The record is from RNAcentral.